CAAUAGCGUAUAUUAAAGUUGUUGCGGUUAAAAAGCUCGUAGUUGGAUUUCUGUUGAGAACAGGCGGUCCACCCUUUUGGGUGAGUAUCUGCAUUGGUCUCGGCAUCUUCUUGAAAACGUUACCUGCGCUUGAUUGCGUGGGCGGAGUUCUAGGACUUUUUACUUUGAGGAAAUUAGAGUGUUCACGGCAGGCAUACGCCUUGAAUACAUUAGCAUGGAAUAAUAAGAUAGGACCUCGGUUCUAUUUUGUUGGUUUCUAGAGCUGAGGUAAUGAUUAAUAGGGAUAGUUGGGGCGAUUCGUAUUUAACUGUCAGAGGUGAAAUUCUUGGAUUUAUUAAAGACGGACUACUGCGAAAGCAUUUGCCAAGGAUGUUUUCAUUGAUCAAGAACGAAAGUUAGGGGAUCGA
This 407-nucleotide ribosomal RNA is filed under the name uncultured eukaryote. RNAcentral describes it as "bacterial SSU rRNA". It matches the Rfam family "Eukaryotic small subunit ribosomal RNA", at positions 592 to 1001 of the family's 1831-position model. The record is from RNAcentral.